Nicotiana attenuata is the source of this 129-nucleotide microRNA precursor. It matches the Rfam family "MIR6152 microRNA precursor family". The record is from Rfam. NCBI's taxonomy places the organism in Eukaryota, Viridiplantae, Streptophyta, Magnoliopsida, Solanales, Solanaceae.
UAGACAGAUUAUUGUAUUCGACUGUAUUCACGAUAUGUAUUUGUGAAUACAAUAACGUAAAUAGCGCAAUUCAUGGUCUAUUCAGCUGUUUUUAAACAGAAAGUGAAUCAAUUAACAUAAUAGACUCCU